RNAcentral lists this ribosomal RNA (791 nucleotides) under uncultured bacterium. RNAcentral describes it as "bacterial SSU rRNA". It matches the Rfam family "Bacterial small subunit ribosomal RNA", at positions 8 to 796 of the family's 1533-position model. The record is from RNAcentral.
AGAGUUUGAUCCUGGCUCAGGACGAACGCUGGCGGCGUGCCUAAUACAUGCAAGUCGAGCGGACAUCUUCGGAUGUCAGCGGCGGACGGGUGAGUAACACGUGGGCAAUCUGCCUGUCAGACUGGAAUAACACUCGGAAACGGGUGCUAAUGCCGGAUGACACACGGGAAGGCAUCUUCCUGUGUUGAAAGGUGCAACUGCAUCGCUGAUAGAGGAGCCCGCGGCGCAUUAGCUAGUUGGUGAGGUAACGGCCCACCAAGGCGACGAUGCGUAGCCGACCUGAGAGGGUGACCGGCCACACUGGGACUGAGACACGGCCCAGACUCCUACGGGAGGCAGCAGUAGGGAAUCUUCCGCAAUGGGCGCAAGCCUGACGGAGCAACGCCGCGUGAGCGAAGAAGGCCUUCGGGUUGUAAAGCUCUGUUGCUUGGGGAGAGCGACAAGGAGAGUGGAAAGCUCCUUGUGAGACGGUACCGAGUGAGGAAGCCCCGGCUAACUACGUGCCAGCAGCCGCGGUAAUACGUAGGGGGCAAGCGUUGUCCGGAAUCACUGGGCGUAAAGCGUGCGUAGGCGGUUGUGUAAGUCUGAAGUGAAAGUCCAAGGCUCAACCUUGGGAUUGCUUUGGAAACUGCAUAACUUGAGUGCUGGAGAGGCAAGGGGAAUUCCACGUGUAGCGGUGAAAUGCGUAGAUAUGUGGAGGAAUACCAGUGGCGAAGGCGCCUUGCUGGACAGUGACUGACGCUGAGGCACGAAAGCGUGGGGAGAAACAGGAUUAGAUACCCUGGUAGUCC